UCAUAGCACUUAAUAUCGCAUAUUAUUCAGUCACUAUAUAGUAUUAAAGCGAAUUCCUGCGCCUCGUAGAUCAGUGAAUUUUGCUCGGCGUGCUUGUUAUACCAAGCCCACACACUGUUCUUGACCUUACAUGAGUCUACAACGUCAGUAUACAUCAUUUCCACGGCACGUAACUUGGUGUACAACGAGCUUAUCCAAGUCGAAAAAUGCAUA
Non-coding RNA from Cinara cedri, 213 nucleotides. The record is from the annotation of a GenBank genome assembly. Lineage: Eukaryota; Metazoa; Arthropoda; Insecta; Hemiptera; Aphididae.